AGCUAAUAGAUACCCGGGUAGUCCUAGCAGUAAACGGUGCAUGCUUGGUAUGGGGACAUAGACAUUCUCCGUGCCGUAGUUAACACGUUAAGCAUGCCGCCUGGGAAGUACGGUCGCAAGACUAAAACUCAAAGAAAUUGACGGGGGACCCGCACAAGCGGUGGAGUAUGUGGCUUAAUUCGAUGCAACGCGAUGAACCUUACCUGGACUUGACAUGCAUCUAUAAACGGCGGAAACGUCGUGAUUGUAGCAAUACAAAAUUUGCACAGGUGCUGCAUGGCUGUCGUCAGCUCGUGUCGUGAGAUGCUGGGUUAAGUCCCGCAACGAGCGCAACCCCUGUAGUUUG
This 346-nucleotide ribosomal RNA is filed under the name uncultured bacterium. RNAcentral describes it as "bacterial SSU rRNA". It matches the Rfam family "Bacterial small subunit ribosomal RNA", at positions 767 to 1114 of the family's 1533-position model. The record is from RNAcentral.